This 68-nucleotide transfer RNA is filed under the name Psilotreta sp. XG-2021. RNAcentral's name for it is "tRNA-Asp". The record is from RNAcentral. Lineage: Eukaryota; Metazoa; Arthropoda; Insecta; Trichoptera; Odontoceridae.
UAAGAAUUAGUUAAAUACAUAACAUAAAUUUGUCAUUUUUAAAUUAUUAAUUAAUUUAAUAUUCUUAU